CCUACGGGAGGCUGCAGUCGAGGAUCUUCUGCAAUGGGCGCAAGCCUGACAGAGCGACGCUGCGUGGAGGAUGAAGGCCUUCGGGUUGUAAACUCCUGUCGUCCGGGAACAAAGGUGCGGGGCUAAUAUCCCUUGCAUUUUGAUGGUACCGGAAGAGGAAGCCACGGCUAACUCUGUGCCAGCAGCCGCGGUGAUACAGAGGUGGCUAGCGUUGUUCGGAUUUACUGGGCGUAAAGGGUGCGUAGGCGGUCUUGUGUGUCGGAUGUGAAAUCCCACUGCUUAACGGUGGAACUGCAUUCGAAACUACAAGGCUAGAGUAUGGUAGAGGAGAGUGGAAUUCUCGUUGUAGCGGUAAAAUGCGUAGAUAUCGAGAGGAACACCGGUGGCGGAAGCGACUCUCUAGAACAAUACUGACGCUGAGGCACGAAAGCUAGGGGAGCAAACAGGAUUAGAUACCC
Molecule: ribosomal RNA, 458 nt
Filed under: uncultured bacterium
Lineage: Bacteria
Description: partial 16S ribosomal RNA
Rfam family: Bacterial small subunit ribosomal RNA
Source: RNAcentral